AGGGAAUUUUCCACAAUGGACGAAACUCUGAUGCAGCAACGCCGCGUGAGGGAAGAAGGUCUUCGGAUUGUAAACCUUUGUCCUUGGUGACGAAACAAAUGACGGUAGCCAAGGAGGAAGCUCCGGCUAACUACGUGCCAGCAGCCGCGGUAAUACGUAGGGAGCAAGCGUUGUCCGGAUUUACUGGGUGUAAAGGGUGCGUAGGCGGCUCUGCAAGUCAGGCGUGAAAACUAUGGGCUUAACCCAUAGACUGCGUUUGAAACUGUGGGGCUUGAGUGAAGUAGAGGUAGGCGGAAUUCCCGGUGUAGCGGUGAAAUGCGUAGAGAUCGGGAGGAACACCAGUGGCGAAGGCGGCCUACUGGGCUUUAACUGACGCUGAAGCACGAAAGCAUGGGUAGCAAAC
Molecule: ribosomal RNA, 403 nt
Filed under: uncultured bacterium
Lineage: Bacteria
Description: bacterial SSU rRNA
Rfam family: Bacterial small subunit ribosomal RNA
Source: RNAcentral